This 505-nucleotide ribosomal RNA is filed under the name uncultured bacterium. RNAcentral describes it as "bacterial SSU rRNA". It matches the Rfam family "Bacterial small subunit ribosomal RNA", at positions 29 to 524 of the family's 1533-position model. The record is from RNAcentral.
AGUGAACGCUGGCGGCAGGCCUAAUACAUGCAAGUCGAACGGCAGCACAGCAGAGCUUGCUCUGUGGGUGGCGAGUGGCGGACGGGUGAGGAAUACGUGGGAAUCUGCCCAGUCGUGGGGGAUAACGUAGGGAAACUUACGCUAAUACCGCAUGCGCCCUUCGGGGAAAGCCGGGGACCUUCGGGCCUGGCGCGAUUGGAUGAGCCCACGUCGGAUUAGCUAGUUGGCGGGGUAAAGGCCCACCAAGGCGACGAUCCGUAGCUGGUCUGAGAGGAUGAUCAGCCACACUGGAACUGAGACACGGUCCAGACUCCUACGGGAGGCAGCAGUAGGGAAUAUUGGACAAUGGGCGCAAGCCUGAUCCAGCCAUGCCGCGUGAGUGAAGAAGGCCCUCGGGUGUAAAGCUCUUUUGUCCGGAAAGAAAAGCGCCGGGUUAAUACCCUGGUGUCCUGACGGUACCGGAAGAAUAAGCACCGGCUAACUUCGUGCCAGCAGCCGCGGUAAU